Molecule: long non-coding RNA, 2192 nt
Filed under: Gallus gallus (chicken)
Lineage: Eukaryota; Metazoa; Chordata; Aves; Galliformes; Phasianidae
Description: lncRNA (ENSGALG00010026891.1)
Source: RNAcentral
CAAGACCAUGCAGUGUGGUGGUUAUAUCCAGGAGACGUGAGGGGAGGCCUAAUAAAGAGACAACUGAGUGGCCUGGAUUGGUUCUAUGAAGAAUGCAAAACAAUCCUGGGCCAUCUCAGAGUAAGCUGCACUCAUGGUGCCUCUUGAACCCAUGUCCUGUUAUUGUUGGUGUGGAACAUGAGUGUCUGGGCCAAUGAAAAUAAGGAAGGCAGCUUGACAGACACAGAUUUUAUCUUUUGAGAUUCGUCAUGACCUUUCUAGUGUUUAAUAAAUAAAGUUGACUCAGGAAUUGGCAAGUGCCCUAUAACAUGCAGUCCCGGUGUCGGGACUCGGCAGAAUGUUCUGCUUAGCAAUGCACUCUGUGAGCUUUGUUUGCCAAGUUCCUAUUUUGGAGGUGUGCUGAAGGGCUGAGCAAUGGCAGAUGCUGAACCUUCUGCAGGCAGGUGCACUGGGCCCAGCAUCUCUGCCCAUGCUGAUCCAGGCUGGAUGAAGGUCAUGCUGAUGCAAACUUUAAUUGCUGGGCAAGAAAAAGAAAAGGCAUGUCUUGCAAAGUAAGAAUGCUGCUUGCACUGGUGCAAAUCCUGGGGCAAGGAGAACUUCCAUCCUUUCUCAUUACUGUAUAACCCAUCAAGCAUUUCAAUCAGCACCGAACAGUAUUGCUUCCUGUAUUGCCUUUUGAGCAGCUCUGCCAUGCACUGUGGAUCCUGCGAUAUUAAACAUCUCCAUCAUCCAGAGGAUGUGGCCAAUUUUGCAGGUGACAGGAAUGGCAGCUCUGAGGCUUGCCUGCUGCCGGUGAAUCCCUGCCAAGCCAUCUCCUCUGCUAACUGAUUGAGAGCAAUCACAGCCAGGUUUCCUGAGCUAACCCUGGUGGCAGGGGCAGCAAAACACAGUGCUCCAUUGAAAACAACUGGGAAUCGUUUACUGCUAAACUUGAAGCCAUUCUGUGAUGGUAACAUAUCAGACUGAAGUUACUCUGCAGAGCAAAAACGCGCUGGAGAGGUGGAGAAGGACCAGCACUUGAUCUGGAAGCACCACGCGGGACUUACGAUCCUCCCAGGACGAGUUUGAUGGUUUUCUUCCCAUCAGAAGCAUGAGGCUGUGCUCUGGGGUCAGGAUGUCGGUGACACACAGAUGACACGGAGCACUGAAGCCUGCGUGUGAAUCAGGUGGCUGCUGUGCACCGGAUGUGUGCCCGUGCUGCAAAACACGUGUCCUUGUUGUGCUUCCUCGAGAGAUGCAUCUGCUGAUGUCAGCUUCCAGGUAAGGCACGCAGGAACCCGCUUCGUGUUGGCAUCUGUGGCCUCUGCCCUCUCCUGGUCCUAAGGAAGUUAAAAGUGACCUAAGGUUGUUUUUCUCUGAGCCGUGGCUAAUGCUGCAGAUGGGGAAGCAAUGGCAAUUUUCCAGCAGGUGAGACCCUCCAGGCCAUCUAGCCAGACAAGAAAAAUAAACACAGGAAAUAGCAUCCGUGCAGUCAGAUAACUGAGAAACAAGCGGCUGGGAGCAAUUCGGCUGUGUGUGUGUCGGGGGGACGGAGCUUGGAGCAAGCAGAUGUCAGGCCUUGUUACGGGGAAAGGGCCUGGAUGUGGGUGAGCUAGUGCUUGCUAAGGGCAAAGACUGGAUGUUACCCUUGUCUUUCUGUCCCAGAAUCAGUACUUGUGUCUCUGCCUACAUAGACACUGCUCAGUCUCACCCGUGAAACCCAUUCCCUGCACUCCUGUUGGCCUCUGCUGUGUGGCAUGUCUGCAGGCCCUGUGUGCUUCUCAGCUUUGUCCCCAGUGGUAUUGCUGGGCAGUGUUGUGGUGAGGCAUCUGCUGCUCCAUCCUGUGCUCAGAGAGAUGGAGGAACCACCUGCGGUGCUCGAAAUAGCUCUGCCUGGGCAAUGCAACCCAAGUGGUGUUGGUAGAGGGAGGCAUUCCCAUGCCUCAUAAAGAGGCUUUUGUUGGGAGGAUCUAAGCUGAGCUCCAUGCCUUGCCAGCUGUGGAGAGGAGCAGAUGGGUCUGCAGUAUAAAAAUAGAUGGAAGCAGACUUGUUCUGCUUCUUUUCUUCACCAGCACAGUCCCAGAGGUGCCUGGUCAUCUGAACCAGCACAGGGAACUGGGUGCUUUGCAGCUGCUAGUCUGCCUGGAGCCCACUAGCUAUUGUCAGAGACAGGAAUUUAUCUCUGUCCAGUCCCAUUCCCUCUACAGCUGCCG